GCACACUUAGCUCAGAGGGUAGAGCAUCACAUUUGUAAUGCGAGGGUCAUCUGUUCAAAUCCGAUAGUUGGCC
Molecule: transfer RNA, 73 nt
Filed under: Zea mays
Lineage: Eukaryota; Viridiplantae; Streptophyta; Magnoliopsida; Poales; Poaceae
Rfam family: tRNA
About the family: Transfer RNA (tRNA) molecules are approximately 80 nucleotides in length.
Source: Rfam by way of RNAcentral